Molecule: ribosomal RNA, 738 nt
Filed under: Bacillus sp. JC119
Lineage: Bacteria; Bacillati; Bacillota; Bacilli; Caryophanales; Bacillaceae
Description: bacterial SSU rRNA
Rfam family: Bacterial small subunit ribosomal RNA
Source: RNAcentral
CGCCGCGUGAGUGAUGAAGGGUUUCGGCUCGUAAAGCUCUGUUGUUAGGGAAGAACAAGUAUCGUUCGAAUAGGGCGGUACCUUGACGGUACCUAACCAGAAAGCCACGGCUAACUACGUGCCAGCAGCCGCGGUAAUACGUAGGUGGCAAGCGUUGUCCGGAAUUAUUGGGCGUAAAGCGCGCGCAGGCGGUCUUUUAAGUCUGAUGUGAAAGCCCCCGGCUCAACCGGGGAGGGUCAUUGGAAACUGGGAGACUUGAGUACAGAAGAGGAGAGUGGAAUUCCACGUGUAGCGGUGAAAUGCGUAGAUAUGUGGAGGAACACCAGUGGCGAAGGCGACUCUCUGGUCUGUAACUGACGCUGAGGCGCGAAAGCGUGGGGAGCAAACAGGAUUAGAUACCCUGGUAGUCCACGCCGUAAACGAUGAGUGCUAGGUGUUAGGGGUUUCGAUGCCCUUAGUGCCGAAGUUAACACAUUAAGCACUCCGCCUGGGGAGUACGACCGCAAGGUUGAAACUCAAAGGAAUUGACGGGGGCCCGCACAAGCAGUGGAGCAUGUGGUUUAAUUCGAAGCAACGCGAAGAACCUUACCAGGUCUUGACAUCCUUUGACCACCCUAGAGAUAGGGCUUUCCCCUUCGGGGGACAAAGUGACAGGUGGUGCAUGGUUGUCGUCAGCUCGUGUCGUGAGAUGUUGGGUUAAGUCCCGCAACGAGCGCAACCCUUGAUCUUAGUUGCCAG